AUGACCUGUCUGAAAGAAAGAAAGAAAGAAAGAAAGAAAGAAAGAAAGAAAGAAAGAAAGAAAGAAAGAGAAAGAGAGAGAGAAAGAAAGAAGAAAGGAAGAAAGGAAAGAAGGAAGGAAAGAAGGAAGGAAGGAAGGAGAAAAGAGAAGAGAACAGAAGAGGAACUGAGCUUCCUGACAAAACCCUGGACAGGAAUUCAUUUCCAGAAGAGUGGAACUGACAGAAUCUUUAACUACCAUGUAAAUGGCAAGCAACACUAAUGGGUCCCUUGAAGAGGUCUCAUAUGUAGACUUGAAACUAAGAAACGAAUCUUUGCCUUAAACAUAGUAAUGCUCAACUGCAACAAAUUGAAAUCACCUGACUCAUCAACACAAACUUCAGUAGACUCAGCAAAUAUUUGUAGUUUCACAUUAUUCCAGGAAUCCAAAUUAGCUGAUAUUCUAUAAAUCACACCUUUUUCAUGGUCCCUGUGUGAUAGUUUACCUGACUCAUUGAGAGGAAUAUUCCAAGGUGGUGGAAAGAAGAUCCAGAAAGUGACACAAGGAGACUACACAGAAAUUAACCUUCAUCACACUCAGCUUACCAAUAAAAAAAAAUACAAAAAAGCUUGCUAGUGCAUGGAUUCAGACAGCUCCUAGUGACAAGAAGGACUGGAAACACGGGCUCCAUGGAAGAGAAGGAAAUUAAAAAAACCCAACAGAGAGGAUCUAAAGAGAACAGAAAUCUUGUUUCAGUGGUGUUAAGUACAUAAAGCUAACGCCAAUUUCAGACUUAGUGUUAUCGCUCCAGUGUUAUCUUCUUUGUUAUCAUUUCAGGAAAAAUAAUGCAGCUGGUUGUAAUUUUAUUUCCUGAUAGUGUAUCCAUAAUGUCUUUUAUCUCCUCACAAAGACAAAUUAGCAUAUUAGGGUUAAAUGAACCUUCUAUUUUAAUUACGAAUCUUCUCACUUUGCUUACAAACUUCCCUCUAAAGACAAAGUACAAAAAAUUGAUAAAGUAGAUGAGGGAAGCACCAGCAGAAUGCCUGCUUAAACUGAUUUAUUAACUCAUUAGGAUGGAUUAGCCUGUAUCACUUCUGGACACUUGGGCUAGGUGAAACCAGCACAAGCAGUCUAUCCCUGCAAAAUCGUGAGACAUAGUAAUGAAAUCAAAAUUGAACUUAGUUAAUGGGUCAUUCUGUUUAGUCUCUCUGUAAUUCCAGAAUGAUCCAGCAUGAACAAGUUGGCAUAACCAGUAAGAAAAUGAUCAUAACCAUAACAACAAUAUUUACUUAUCACUUUCAAUUAUAUAGGCUUUAUGCUAAAUACUUGUAUAAGCUUAUUUAAAAUCUGCAGCAAUUAUGUGAGGUAGGUCUUAUCCCCACAUUUUAUAGAUUAGAAGACUGUGGUUCCAAUAGGGUUUUUAACACAAAUCUAUUCAGUUUCAAAAUCCAUGCCAUUACCCACUGCAUCAUAUUGCCUCUCUGGGCUGCAAAAUAAAUACAAAAGUGGGGUCAGAAAAUCUCUAAAAGUGUUUGAAACCAUAUUCAUUGACAUGUUGGCUACUCAUCUAGACCUCUAAGCUUCCUUUCAGGAAAAUAAUCACUUCAAGCUUAAAUAUGCUCUCAUGUAAUCUGUCAAAACUGCCAGACACAGUGCUCUUAUCUUCCCUCCAACCCUCCAGCCCCCUGCUGAGGUGCCUGGUGUAGGACUUGCUUUCAUGUUCAGCACCUGAAAAUCCCAGCAGAAUUCCCCCAGAAAUGGACACUGCAGCUCUCAUUAUAUGGUGAAUCUUGGGUGACUCUUUCUGGCUAACAGCUCAGGUGGAAGGAAGUGAGAUGCCCUUAUCAAACCCCAUAGCCUGUGUCCUAGAUUUUCAGCCAUACUUCUGAUCUCUGAUGCGCCUUCUUCUAUUUUCCAUUCAUUAUGAUCUAGGGACAAGUCCAUUUUAAAAAGCAUUACUCUUCAUCACAGGAUUAAGAAAAUGUCAGGACGUCUCUUUUUUUUUUUUUUUUUGAGACAGAACUUCACCGUUGUUGUCCAGACUAGAGUGCAAUGGGGCAAUCUCAGCCCACUGCAAUCUCUGCCUCCUGGGUUCAAGUGAUUCUCCUGCCUCAGCCUCCCGAGUAGCUGGGAUUACAGGCAUGUGCCACCACACUUGGCUUAUUUUUUGUAUUUAGUAGAGACGGGGUUUCAUCAUGUUGGUCAGGCUGAUCUUGAACUCCUGACCCCUCAAGUGAUCCACUCGCCUAGGCCUCCCAGCAUGCUGGACUUACAGGCACGAUCCACGUCCCCGGCCAGGACAUAUACUUUUGAAAUAAAACUCACAUGGGGUCUGGUAUUCAUCACUCUUGAUGUGCCACAGUUCCCAGCCUGACACCUCAGUCCUGUCCCCUUUUUGGUAAAUGUAAAUGCUAUCUUGACUUCCUCAACUGUUAGGGCUAUGUAACCUGGAUGAAUUGGUCAGGUGACCAAUAUCAAUGGGAGGGCGGGGUUACAAUGAAAAGAAAAAAAAAAUCCAACAAACCACAGUCCCCUGGUUGAGGAUUUCAUGUGCUGUGUUAACUUUUUUUUGUGACUGAUCGGUUUUAUACAUGGUGCUAGCACUCAGAUUAGUUGUGAGCGUUUUAACAAGGACUGUGAGGAGACACACCUUUAACUUUGUGGAAUGAAUCUAAUGUUUGUCAUUCCCAGCCCCAACUGACAAGUGGGGCUCAGAAAACAAUGCCCCACAAUUAAGUUCUCAGAAACGCAUUAGAAUAAAAGUUUUUCUCUGACCUUCUCUUGCCCUCCUGUCUCUCCUUCCCAUUUUCCCCCAGGGCUAGCCAUAGAAACUAUAAUCUGUCUUCCUCAAGGCAAGUCACAGAAAGCAGAACCCUUUGGCUUGACAGUCAGCCAUAACACAGAAAGAUGUCCUAUAUGAAAACCGGUCACAAGUUAUUUGACCAACCUUGUUUGACUGUAAAAAAAAAUCCAGAAGGAAAGAUGCAUACACAAAGAGGUCAAGAAGAGUCUAGACAGACUGGCCUUGCUGGGUUUCCCAAUCAAUAUAUUAGCAUUAGUUCAUACCCCUUUUGUCCAAUCAGAUUUUUACAUGGCUGUCUAUACUCUGUUGAACAUAAGCAUAAAAAUGAAUAAUUUCCCCU
Long non-coding RNA from Aotus nancymaae (Ma's night monkey), 3122 nucleotides. Lineage: Eukaryota; Metazoa; Chordata; Mammalia; Primates; Aotidae. The record is from Ensembl.